UGGUUCUGGCAUCGAUGAAGAACGCAGCAAAAUGCGAUAAGUAAUGUGAAUUGCAGAAUUUAGUGAAUCAUCGAAUCUUUGAACGCACAUUGCGCCCUUUGGUAUUCCAAGGGGCAUGCCUGUUUGAGCGUCAUUACACUUGUUCAGAGGAUGGGGUGCUAGUAGCCCGCAACUCUGGUGUUGGCCCUAAAGCUAGGCAGCUUCUAUGCCAGCAUGUUUUGGUGCCUAAGAUAGACCACAAGAGCUCUCAGGCCUCUGGCGUACCACAAUAUCUCAUAUUACUUGCCAGUUGUGCCUGCAGCAGUGUUCUUGCCCACAAGUCUGCUUGGCAGGAUGCCUAGUGCUCUGCCCAGGGACUAUUUUGACCUCAGAUCAGGUAGGGAUACCCGCUGA
Molecule: unclassified non-coding RNA, 393 nt
Filed under: uncultured fungus
Lineage: Eukaryota; Fungi
Description: partial contains 5.8S ribosomal RNA and internal transcribed spacer 2
Rfam family: 5.8S ribosomal RNA (bases 1-133)
Source: RNAcentral